GCAGAAUGGUCUACAAAUUCAAUACUAUCAAGCCCCAUGCCAUUGCUUAUGUCCCUUAAAGAAGCAACUUCCUCAACCAGUUGUGUAUCAAUCUUAUCACAGUUUGAAGCAUCCAUCUGUAUAAAAUCAUUUGCACCAAUCAUUUUGUCCAUGAUAUCGGACUGAUCAACAGUACCAAUUGGCAUUUCAAAAAUAUCUGCAGACACUGGCUCUCUUUGGGAUGUCACCAAACCCUGAGCAGAAUGAUUUGUGAUAUCAGCAACUUCAGCAUCUACUUUAUCAAUUUCCAUUUCACUUGUUUUUCCCAAAUGUUCAUGUUCUAAAGAUCUAUAAUCAGCUAAAUCAGUGAUUCCAUUCAUGUGUUCUUGAUUAAUAUUAUCAUAUGAGCUGAAGUGGUCUUCAUCCUGGCGAUUAUCAUUCUGAAUGAGAGUCUCAUAGGAUUGUCCAUCCAAGCCAUGUCUGCAACUACCAGGUUCUGUUGACCCUUCAAUUUCACUAUGUUGGGUAACAUAUUGCUUGGCAGAAUCUUCAUCAUUCAAUGCUUCCACAGGAGGGUUAUUAUUAUCAUCAUUUUCAGAAACCCUGAUUCUGCUCAAAUCAAAUGCUUCACUGUGCAAAUGUGAC
RNAcentral lists this unclassified non-coding RNA (624 nucleotides) under Hevea brasiliensis (rubber tree). Lineage: Eukaryota; Viridiplantae; Streptophyta; Magnoliopsida; Malpighiales; Euphorbiaceae. The record is from RNAcentral.